Heterocephalus glaber (naked mole-rat) is the source of this 173-nucleotide small nuclear RNA. Its record names the gene U2. It matches the Rfam family "U2 spliceosomal RNA". From Rfam's summary of the family: U2 is a small nuclear RNA (snRNA) component of the spliceosome (involved in pre-mRNA splicing). Lineage: Eukaryota; Metazoa; Chordata; Mammalia; Rodentia; Bathyergidae. The record is from Ensembl.
AUCGCUUCUCGGCCUUUUGGCUAAGAUCAAGUGUAAUAGUAGCUGCCGUGAUUCUGUUAAUACAAGUUAGAUUGUUUCUUUUCUCUGCUUAAAACCCUCCAAUGGCUUCCCAUGUCUCUUAGCAAAGCCAAAAUUUCUCAAGACUUAUGACGUGUGAGUGAUUCUGAACCUCU